Molecule: ribosomal RNA, 509 nt
Filed under: uncultured Glomus
Lineage: Eukaryota; Fungi; Glomeromycota; Glomeromycetes; Glomerales; Glomeraceae
Description: SSU rRNA
Rfam family: Eukaryotic small subunit ribosomal RNA
Source: RNAcentral
AGCAGCCGCGGUAAUUCCAGCUCCAAUAGCGUAUAUUAAAGUUGUUGCAGUUAAAAAGCUCGUAGUUGAAUUUCGGGAUCAAUAUGUCGGUCGUACCUCGGUACGUACUGGCAUCAUUGGUUUCUCCCUUCUGAUGAACCAUGAUGCCAUUAAUUUGGUGUCGUGGGGAAUCAGGACUGUUACUUUGAAAAAAUUAGAGUGUUUAAAGCAGGCUCACGCUUGAAUACAUUAGCAUGGAAUAAUGAAAUAGGACGUUUGAUUCUAUUUUGUUGGUUUCUAGGAUCGACGUAAUGAUUAAUAAGGAUAGUUGGGGGCAUUAGUAUUCAAUUGUCAGAGGUGAAAUUCUUGGAUUUAUUGAAGACUAACUACUGCGAAGGCAUUUGCCAAGGAUGUUUUCAUUAAUCAAGAACGAAAGUUAGGGGAUCGAAGACGAUCAGAUACCGUCGUAGUCUUAACCAUAAACUAUGCCGACUAGGGAUCGGAUGAUGUUAAUUUUUAAUGACUCAUUC